Molecule: ribosomal RNA, 460 nt
Filed under: uncultured bacterium
Lineage: Bacteria
Description: partial 16S ribosomal RNA
Rfam family: Bacterial small subunit ribosomal RNA
Source: RNAcentral
CCUACGGGAGGCAGCAGUGAGGAAUAUUGGUCAAUGGGCGCGAGCCUGAACCAGCCAAGUAGCGUGAAGGAUGACUGCCCUACGGGUUGUAAACUUCUUUUAUAAAGGAAUAAAGUGAGGCACGUAUACUUUUUUGUAUGUACUUUAUGAAUAAGGAUCGGCUAACUCCGUGCCAGCAGCCGCGGUAAUACGGAGGAUCCGAGCGUUAUCCGGAUUUAUUGGGUUUAAAGGGAGCGUAGACGGGUUGUUAAGUCAGUUGUGAAAGUUUGCGGCUCAACCGUAAAAUUGCAGUUGAUACUGGCAGCCUUGAGUACAGUAGAGGUAGGCGGAAUUCGUGGUGUAGCGGUGAAAUGCUUAGAUAUCACGAAGAACUCCGAUUGCGAAGGCAGCUUGCUGGACUGCAACUGACACUGAUGCUCGAAAGUGUGGGUAUCAAACAGGAUUAGAUACCCCUGUAGUC